RNAcentral lists this ribosomal RNA (519 nucleotides) under uncultured eukaryote. RNAcentral's name for it is "SSU rRNA". It matches the Rfam family "Eukaryotic small subunit ribosomal RNA", at positions 1161 to 1699 of the family's 1831-position model. The record is from RNAcentral.
AGGGCACCACCGGGAGUGGAGCCUGCGGCUUGAUUUGACUCAACACGGGGAAACUUACCCGGCCUGGACACUGGAAGGAUUGACAGAUUGAGAGCUCUUUCUUGAUUCAGUGGGUGGUGGUGCAUGGCCGUUCUUAGUUGGUGGAGCGAUUUGUCUGGUUAAUUCCGAUAACGAACGAGACUCUAGCCUAUUAAAUAGGCUCUCGGCUUUUAAACGCCGGGAGGACUUCUUAGAGGGACAGGUGGCGGUUCAGCCGCACGAAAGAGAGCAAUAACAGGUCUGUGAUGCCCUUUGUUGUCCGGGGCCGCACGCGCGCUACACUGAAGAGAUCAGCGUGCUUUACGUUCCUGCUCCGACCGGAGUGGGGAACCCAGUGAACCUUCUUCGUGAUUGGGAUAGAAGAUUGUAAUUAUUCUUCUUGAACGAGGAAUUCCCAGUAAAUGCGAGUCAUAAGCUCGCGUUGAUUACGUCCCUGCCCUUUGUACACACCGCCCGUCGCUACUACCGAUUGAACGAUUU